ACUUCGUGGAUGUUGCAGACUGGACCCUGAGUUAUUCUUUCUGUAAAUAGUCCCUGAUCUUUCUGGUUUCCCCAAGAUGGUCCCUGAAACUCAUGUUCACUGCAAAUCAGUCUCUGCACAUUCUGGUAGGUGAAAUACAGUCUCUAGACUAUUAGAAUGAUGGAAAACCGUCCCUUCUGGAAUCUGGACCAUAGAGCAUGGGCUGGACAGUCAGAUUCAGCCCAUUAAACGACGCAGUUCUUGCGGACCUCAAAUGCAUCUAUGUCUCUCGAAUAUCUGCUGUUUCAACACUGAUAUCACCGCAUCAUCGCCAGCAUUUCUGCCCAGAACACUCGACUCCUAGCGUUUUGAAUUUGCUUUCUAGGUAAAUUUCUGCUUUUGUUCUCGAAAGUCUUGACAAUUUUGGAAUACGAUUGCAGUUAUGGAUUUUUUAACAUUUUGAAAUCUGCUGUUAUUUAUGAGUUACAACAAUCGUCUCGUUAAAGGAUAAGGAAUAUGGCAACUUUGAUUCAGAAAUAGGUUAAUUUUCAGGUGUAGAAGUAUUUGUUUACAUUUUCAUCUAUUUUAUUUUUCAUCAGUUUCUCCUGGUCUUGUGUAUCUCUUGAGUCUUGAUUUACCUGCAAACUUUGAUUUUUAUGUUAUCUUGUUCUUGUGAUGGCAACUUCUUGGUGCCCCGUUAGGAUAUUGGUAACUCCCCUCUUUUCUCCCUGUAAAUAUUUUGGUGUUUGAGUUGUUCACACGAUUGUGCUAAACAAGUUAGACGAGUGAUUUGUAAAUCCAGAGCUUAUCUCUGUGGGUGUAUCAGCCAAAUUCGUCAAAACAUUGAUGGGGCCAUAGGAGACAAGAUAGAAAAUGACGUCAGCCGAAAUUUGCAGUUCAAUCUUUGGCCGUGUAUAACCAAAGAUAAUACUUUUUUUCUUCCUGCUCAAAUGAACUAAAAUUUAAUCGUUGUGGUCAUAUACGGCUCUGCGGAAUCGUUUGUAAGUUUGCAUUGUUGGACAUGUUGAAGUUGAGAUGGUGUAGUUACUGUGGGAGUGGUGAAGUUGGUGGCAGUGUUGUUGACUAUUUAGUCAUGGAUGAGAAGAAAAGGACAAGAAAUUGAAUAAAAUUCAAACCAAAUAAUUAUUUAUCUAUAACUACAUCUUGUAUGGUUUGGAUGUUUGAAAUAGGAUUCAGAAGACAAAAAAUCCUAACCAAUGUGUUCGAAAAUGGAAUGGAUAAACCAAAGCAUACACUGGCUUGGUGUUGCUUGUUGAACUGGACAGUCUGUUCUUCUGAGAUUCGGUUAUUAAUUGUUUGCUUCGAUACUAUAUUCUCUUGAGUUAUUUCCUAUGCAUGAAUUGCCAAUAAAGCCUCUCUCCUUUGGUAAAACUCAUUUCCUACCAUGGAUCACAAUUUAUUUUUUUUAGUUUAAUCAAAUGGAAAAAUAAAUUUACGUAGAAUGUACAAUGAUGUUAGAGAUGUACCACAUUUUGCUAUAGUUUCUCCAACAUUUUUUUCGUCCUGACUUUACUGAUAUAUAGUGUCAUUGGGACUUUCUUCUUUUGCAGUAAUUAUCUGGUCAGCAUGGCAUACGGAUUGUGAUAAUUUUAUGUUGCUGGACUGACAAUUGUACUAUUCAGGAUAUGAAAUCGCAACUACGUGUCUGACCCAAAGUGUUUGUUAAGAGUAUCAAAAUAUUGGCAAUGGACAAAAUAAAUUUUCGAUUUCUUCUUAUUUUCUCAGCAAUUCUUCGAGUCUUCUUAAUAUUGUAUGGGGAGUGGCAAGACGCUCAUAUGGAGGUCAGAUACACGGAUGUCGACUAUCUUGUCUUUUCUGAUGCUGCAGACUUAAUGGCAUCUGGAAAAUCACCUUACAAAAGAUCAACAUAUCGGUAUUCACCAUUGAUUGCUGCUCUUCUCAUGCCAAAUUCAUUUCUUCAUCACCUGUGGGGAAAAUUUCUCUUCUCAGCUUCAGGUAUACCAUGUUGAUUAAUUAACAAAGUGCAGUUAUCUUUAAAGUGGUGAAAGAACUGGAUUAUUGUUAAAUAGUUUAUUUAAAACUGGGUAUAUAUGAAC
RNAcentral lists this long non-coding RNA (2057 nucleotides) under Olea europaea subsp. europaea. Lineage: Eukaryota; Viridiplantae; Streptophyta; Magnoliopsida; Lamiales; Oleaceae. The record is from RNAcentral.